RNAcentral lists this non-coding RNA (113 nucleotides) under Opisthocomus hoazin. RNAcentral's name for it is "Eukaryotic small subunit ribosomal RNA". It matches the Rfam family "Eukaryotic small subunit ribosomal RNA", at positions 1670 to 1797 of the family's 1831-position model. Lineage: Eukaryota; Metazoa; Chordata; Aves; Opisthocomiformes; Opisthocomidae. The record is from Rfam by way of RNAcentral.
CACCCAUCGCUACUACCGAAUGGAUGGUUUAAUGAGGUCGUCGGAUCGGCCCUGAUGGAGCGUCGAGAAGGUGGUUGAACUUGACUAUCUAGAGGAAGUAAAAGUCGUAACAA